CAUGCAAGUUGAGCGCAUCCCAGCAAUGGGGAAGCAGCGUAAGGGGCAGUAAGGCAUGGGUAUUUACCCUGGGGUCUGGCAUAGCCCUUCGAGAGAAGGGGUAAUUCCAGAUGAUGUCGUGAGACCAAAGGUCCGCCGCCCUGGGAGAAGCCCAUGUGAUAUUACCUAGUUGGCGGGGUAAUGGCCCACCAAGGGGAAGAUGUCUAGCGGGUGUGAGAGCACGACCCGCGCCACUGGCACUGAGACACUGGCCAGACACCUACGGGUGGCUGCAGUCGAGGAUCUUCGGCAAUGAGCGCAAGCUUGACCGAGCGACGCCGCGUGGGCGAUGAAGGCCUUCGGGUUGUAAAGCCCUGUCGAGGGGGAGAAAAGGAAACUUGAUCUAUCCCUGGAGGAAGCACGGGCUAAGUUCGUGCCAGCAGCCGCGGUAAGACGAACCGUGCGAACGUUGUUCGGAAUCACUGGGCUUAAAGGGCGCGUAGGCGGGUUGCCAAGUCUGUGGUGAAAUCCUUCAGCUUAACUGAAGAAUGGCCGUGGAUACUGGUGAUCUUGAGGGAGGUAGGGGUGUGUGGAACUAUUGGUGGAGCGGUGAAAUGCGUUGAUAUCAAUAGGAACUCCGGUGGCGAAGGCGACACACUGGACCUCUUCUGACGCUGAGGCGCGAAAGCUAGGGGAGCGAACGGGAUUAGAUACCCCGGUAGUCCUAGCCCUAAACGUUGAGAACUGGGUAGUAGGUUAAACUUGGACUUACUGCCGCAGCAAAAGUGCUAAGUCUCCGCC
This 780-nucleotide ribosomal RNA is filed under the name uncultured bacterium. Its description in RNAcentral is "bacterial SSU rRNA". It matches the Rfam family "Bacterial small subunit ribosomal RNA", at positions 54 to 873 of the family's 1533-position model. The record is from RNAcentral.